CCCUACUUCCGUUCCCCCACCAGGCUCUGCUGCCCAGCUAGGCCUCCGGCCCCGUGGUCGUGGGGCGCUUACCUUCGCGCUGUGCCACCCCCGCCCCCGGAGUGCCCAAGAGUGCGCUGUUUUCUCAGACUAUUGGUCUUCCAUCUCCAGCAGUAAAGCUGUACCCUGUUGUAACCCACUUCUUUUUUUUUUUUUUCUUGCUGCAGCAACCUUGUCCCUCUGAUUAUCCAGUCAGAAGUCUGAGCGGUAUAAAGUGCAUUACGUUAAACUAGAUGCUUUGUAAAAAGUGAGGGUAACAAAAAGAAUAUUAAAGUCUUAAGCCCCUAACACUAAUUAUAAAGCAGUAAGUGAAGAAAUACAAAUGAUAUGCUGGGGACCUUUUAUUAAAAUUUAUAUUUUAUUUAAAUUUUUAAUAUACCUAGUGUUUCCAGAUGCAUUUAACUUCUGCGUCACAGAUAAACAAUUCACUUCAUCAUGUGGGGGAUACAAAGCAAAGAGGAACUAAUUUUGUCCUUACCGUCAUGGAAUAUAAGGCAGAUGUAGAAACAGGCGUGGAGAGCUUAAACAACCUGCCUAUUACGGUCACAUAGCUAAUAUGUGGAACCUAGGAGUUCUGACUCCGGAACUGAUACUCCUAACCAUUCAUUGUACUGUGCUGCCUCCAGGACCACCUUAAGGAUGUGCAGAAGUAUCCCAGAUGCACCAUUCCUGGCUAAUUUCACAUCUCUACCUUGAGGAAAAAAAAAAAAAGACGCUGUUAUUACUUACAAGGCCAAGACCCUUCAGAACCCGUUUGUCUUGAAACUAUCGAUCUUCUUGCCUCUGUAGUUUUCUAAUACCACUUAUCGAAUGCUGGUUAUAUCGUUAUUUAUGAUGCUGCAUCAUCUUGCCACCUGUGAAUACUGGCUUCUAAAGACUCUCUCAAGGGUUGUUACUGUGUUUCAUUACUAAUGACCACAAGUGCAAAUCUUACCCAGAGUAUGAAGGAAAAUGUAUGCGACUGAUGGUUUGUUUUCUAGAUUGUUAAAUUUAUACUUUGGAAUUUUAUAAUGUAAAUGUAGAGCAAUGUGGCCUACGACCAUGUCUUUUCUUGAAUUCUUUAGGCCAUAAUCACUACAUUCCUAAAAUUAUCUCAUUCGGUAUUGACCACACCUCUACUUUACACACACCACCACCAGCAGGGAUAAUAGGCGAGGGGCCCUUGACUCAGUGAGAAGAGUGAUAACAUCGGUACAAGUCAUGUCUAACCCUCCUCUAGCAUGGUUAAGAACACCCCUCCAUGAUAAAAACACUCAACAAACAAGAAAUAGAAGGGAACUUCCUCAGCAUGGUAAGGAGCAUCUAGCAAAAAUCCCUCAGCUAAUAUUUACACUUAAUGAUGAAAGGCUGAAUGUUUUCCCCCUAAACACGGGAACAAGACAAGGAUGUCUUUUCUCACCACUUCUAUUCAGCAUUGUAUUGGAAGUGCUAACCAGUGCAAUUAGGCAAGAAAAUAAAAUAAAAGGCAUGCAGGUUGGAAAGGAAAUAAGACUAUCUCUUUUUGCAGAUGACAUAAUCAUGUAUAUAGAAAACCCUAAAGAAUGCACUAAAAAUCUAUUAGAAAUAAUAAAACAAGACCUAAGUAAACUGAAAGAAGAUUUAAUAUUGUUAAGAUGGCAGUACUCACCAAAUUGAUCUACAGAUUUAACACAAUCCGUAUCAAAAUCUCAAGCUGGCUUCUCACAGAAAUUGACAAGCUGACCCUAAAAUUCAUUUGGACAGUCAAGGGACACAGAAUAGCCAAGAUAACCUUGAAAAAGAACAAAGUUGGAGGAUUCACAAGUCCCAAUUUCAAAACUUAAACUACAAAGCUACAGUAAUCAAGAGAGUGCGGUACUAGCACAAGGAAAGCAGAUGGAUGCGUGGAACAGAAUUGAGAGUCCAGAAAUAAAUCCAUACAUUUCCACUCAAUAGAUUUUCAGCAAGGAUGCCAAGACAAUUUAAUGGGGAAAGAACAGCCUUUUCAACAAAUGGUGCUGGGACAAGUGGAUAUCCACAUGCAAAAGAAUGAAGUUGGACCCCUGUCUCACACUGUAUAUGUGUGGAUCAAAGACCUAAAUGUAAAUGCUAAAACUAUAAAACUCUUAGAAUAAAACAGACAUAAAACUUUGUGAUCUUGGAUUAGGCGACGUUUUCUUAGCUAUGACACAAGCAGUGAAAGAAAAAAUUAGAUAAAUUGGGCUUCCUCAGAAUGAAAAAAUGUUUGUGCUUCAAAGGAUGCCAAGAAAGUUAAAAGACAACUCAAAGAACGGGGGAAAAUAUUUGCAAAUCAUAUAUCUGAUAAGGGAUCUACAUCUAGAAUAUAUAAAGAACUCUUAAAAAAAAAACAAAAAAAACCCAGUGCCGUCGAAUCGAUUCCGACUCAGAGCGACCCUAUAGGACAGAGUAGAACUGCCCCAUAGAGUUCCUACAACUCAGUAAUAAAAAGACAACCCAAUUAAAAAAUGGGCAAAAGACAUGUUCACUGCAGCACUGCUUACAAUAGCAAACAGAUGGAAGCAACCAAGGUGCCCAUCAACAGAAAAAUGGAUAAAUAAAUUAUGGUAUAUUCACAUAACGGCAUACUACGCAACGAUUAAGAACAACGAUGAAUCCGUGAAACAUCUCAUAACAUGGAGGAAUCUGGUAGGCAUCAUGCUGAGUGAAAUUAGUCAAUUGCAAAAGGACAAAUAUUGUAUGAGACCACUAUUACAAGAACUCAAGAAAAAGUUUAAACACAGAAGAAAAUAUUCUUUGAUGGUUACGAGGGUGGGGAGGGAGGGAGAGGGGUAUUCAUUAAUUAGACAGUAGACAAGAACUAUUUUAGGUGAAGGAAAAGACAACACACAAUAUAGGGGAGGUCAGCACAACUGGACUAAACCAAAAGCAAAGCAGUUUCCUGAAUACAACGAAACGCUUCGCAGGGUAGCAGGGAGGGGGUCUGAUUGGCAUAACAAAGUGUAUUAAGAAAACAUUCUGCAUCCCACUUUGGUGAGUGGCGUCUGGGGUCUUAAACGCUAGCAAGUGGCCAUCUAAGACAAACCAGUUGGUCUCAACCCACCUGGAGCAACGGAGAAUGAAGAACACCAAACACACAAGGUAAAUAUGAGCCCAAGAGACAGGAAGGGCCACAUAAACCAGAGACUCCAUCUGCCUGAGACUGGAAGAACUAGAUGGUGCCCGGCUACCACUGAUGACUGCCCUAACAGGGAACACAACAGAGAAUCCUGGAUGGAGCAGGAGAACAAUGGGAUGUAGACCUCAAAUUCUCAUAAAAAGACCAGGCUUAAUGCUCUGACUGAGACCAGACGGACGCCGGAGGUCAUGGUCCCUGGGCCCUCUGUUAGCCCAAGACUGGAACCAUUCCCAAAGCCAACUCUUCAAACAGGGAUUGGACUGGACUGUAAGACAGAAAACGAUACUGCUGAGGAGUGAGCUUCUUGGCUCAAGUAGACACACGAGACUAUGUGGGCAGCUCCUGUCUGGAGGCGAGAUGAGAAGGUAGAGGGGGACAGGAGUUGGUUGAAUUGGACAGUGAGAAUACAGGGUGGAGAGGAGGAGUGUGCUGUCUCAUUGGGAGAGCAGCUAGGAGUACAUAGCAAGGUGGGUGUACGUUUUUAUAUGAGAGACUGAGUUGAUUUGUAAACUUUGACUUAAAGCACAAUUAAAAAAAAAGGGGGGGGGGCCAAAAGGCCUGAAUAGGCAUUUACCCAAAGAAGUGUACAGAUGGCCAAUAAGCACAUGAAAAGAUGCUCAGUAUCAUUAAAACAAAAAAAAACAAACCCAGUGCCAUCGAGUCGAUUCCAACUCAUAGCGACCCUAUAGGACAGAACAGAACUCCCCCACAGAGUUUCCAAGGAGUGCCUGGCAGAUUCCAACUGCCGACCCUUUGGUUCGCAGCCGUAGCACUUAACCAGUACACCACCAGGGCUUCCUCAGUACAUCGUUAGCCAUCAGGAAAUACAAAUCAAAACCCAAAUGAGGUACACUUCACACCCACGAGGAUGGCUAUAAUAAAAAAGACAGUGUCGUAUAUAACAAGUGUUGGCAAGGAUGUGGAGAAAUUGGAACCUUUGUACAUGGCUGUUGGGAAUGUAAAAUGGUAGAAUUGCUUUGGAAAAUAGUCUGGCAGUUUCUCAAAAGGCUAAACAUAGAGUUACCAAAUGACCCAGCCAUUCCUCUCCUAGGUAUAUACCCAGAAGAAAUGAAAACCUAUGUCCACAUAAAAACUUGUAAACAAAUGUUCAUAGCAGCAUUAUUUUUAAUAGCCAAAAAAUAGAAACAAUCUAUAUGUCCAUAAAGUGAUGAAUGAAUAAGUAAAACGUUAUAUAUCCAUACAAUGGAAUAUUGUUCAGCAAUAAAAAAAUGAAACACUGGUAUAUGCUAUACCAUGGAUGAACCUUGAAAACAUUAUGCUAAGUGAAAGGAGUCAGUCACAAAAGCCUACCUACAUAUUGUAUGAUCCAUUUAUACGAAGUCUACAGAGACUGAAAGUAGACUAGUGAUUGCCUAGGGCUUGGGGUAUCGGAGGUUGGGAGUGAUAGCUAAGGGCUAUAAAGUUUUCUUUUUGUAGUCCUGAAAAUGUCCUGCUAAUGUGUACACAGUUUCCUUUUGGGAUGAAAGAUGUUGUAAACUUAGAUUAUGAUGAUGGUUGCACAACUCUAAUAUACUAAAAACCACUGAAUUAUGCACUUUUAAAUGGUUGAACUUUUUAGUAUGUAAAUUAUAUCUCAAUAAAGCUGUUCAAAUUAAUUAAUUUUUUAAAAAUCAAGCUGGCCGGUAGGAGCUAUCCACCUGCCAGACAGCUCUCUGGGGCUCUGGGAUGAGCCCACAGGCUCAAAUCCUGAAGAAGCCUGGAUAUCUGAAUGACUCCACGUGGGGGAUGGGGAGUGGAUAUGGGAGGGGAAAGGCUGGAAAGGGCCAGAAAAGGGGAGAAAUGGGGGCCUGGACCUUGUUGUUGUUUGCCGCUGAGUCGAUUCCAACUCAUGGUGACCCUAGGUGACAGGGCUGAGCUGCCCCAUAGGGUUUCCUAGGCUGUAAUCUUUACAGGAGCAGAUCCCCAGGUCUUUUCUCCCACGGAGUGGCUGGUGGGUUCUAACUGGACCAACCAUUUGGUUAACAACUGACUGCUUAGCCAUUGCGCCAUCAGGGCUCCUUGACCCAGGCCUUCUGGGUUCUAACUGGGGCUGGGAGCACCCCUACCAGAUAGCACAGGGCAGCCCCACAGUCACCAGAGGUGGGUUUUAAAAAAAUUUCAAGGUAGGCACACCAAAGCAUGGAGCCUCCUGAGGCACAAGGCAUUAGGCAAGGGACCCAUGUGCUUUGUCUAAAACUGUACCGAUUACCUCCACACGAGGCACGAUGUAGUAAGAAUUAAA
Loxodonta africana (African savanna elephant) is the source of this 5396-nucleotide long non-coding RNA. RefSeq lists it as uncharacterized. The record is from RefSeq and is a predicted model, not a curated record. The transcript is spliced from 3 exons. NCBI's taxonomy places the organism in Eukaryota, Metazoa, Chordata, Mammalia, Proboscidea, Elephantidae.